GACUACAUGAAGCUGGAAUCGCUAGUAAUCGUAGAUCAGCAUGCUACGGUGAAUACGUUCCCGGGUCUUGUACACACCGCCCGUCACACCACGAGAGUUUGUAACACCCGAAGCCGGUGGAGUAACCUUUUAGGAGCUAGCCGUCGAAGGUGGGACAAAUGAUUGGGGUGAAGUCGUAACAAGGUAGCCGUAUCGGAAGGUGCGGCUGGAUCACCUCCUUUCUAAGGA
RNAcentral lists this ribosomal RNA (228 nucleotides) under Staphylococcus hominis. Its description in RNAcentral is "partial 16S ribosomal RNA". It matches the Rfam family "Bacterial small subunit ribosomal RNA", at positions 1314 to 1533 of the family's 1533-position model. The record is from RNAcentral. Lineage: Bacteria; Bacillati; Bacillota; Bacilli; Caryophanales; Staphylococcaceae. RNAcentral also lists the same sequence under 1 other name.